UACGGAGGGUGCAAGCGUUAUCCGGAUUCACUGGGUUUAAAGGGUGCGUAGGCGGGUCUUUAAGUCAGUGGUGAAAUCUCCGAGCUUAACUCGGAAACUGCCAUUGAUACUAUUUGUCUUGAAUUAUGUUGAGGUUGGCGGAAUAUGUCAUGUAGCGGUGAAAUGCUUAGAUAUGACAUAGAACACCGAUUGCGAAGGCAGCUAACUAAACAUAUAUUGACGCUGAGGCACGAAAGCGUGGGGAUCAAAC
This 250-nucleotide ribosomal RNA is filed under the name uncultured Sphingobacteriia bacterium. RNAcentral's name for it is "partial 16S ribosomal RNA". It matches the Rfam family "Bacterial small subunit ribosomal RNA", at positions 524 to 773 of the family's 1533-position model. Lineage: Bacteria; Pseudomonadati; Bacteroidota; Sphingobacteriia. The record is from RNAcentral.